RNAcentral lists this ribosomal RNA (379 nucleotides) under uncultured eukaryote. Its description in RNAcentral is "partial 18S ribosomal RNA". It matches the Rfam family "Eukaryotic small subunit ribosomal RNA", at positions 592 to 976 of the family's 1831-position model. The record is from RNAcentral.
CAAUAGCGUAUAUUAAAGUUGUUGUGGUUAAAAAGCUCGUAGUUGAACCUUGGGCCUGGCCGUCCGGUCCGCCUCACCGCGUGUACUGGCUCGGCCGGGCCUUUCCCUCUGUGGAACCCCAUGCCCUUCACUGGGCGUGGCGGGGAAACAGGACUUUUACUGUGAAAAAAUUAGAGUGCUCCAGGCAGGCCUAUGCUCGAAUACAUUAGCAUGGAAUAAUAGAAUAGGACGUGUGGUUCUAUUUUGUUGGUUUCUAGGACCGCCGUAAUGAUUAAUAGGGACAGUCGGGGGCAUCAGUAUUCAAUUGUCAGAGGUGAAAUUCUUGGAUUUAUGAAAGACGAACUACUGCGAAAGCAUUUGCCAAGGAUGUUUUCAUUAA